Molecule: long non-coding RNA, 648 nt
Filed under: Lathyrus oleraceus (garden pea)
Lineage: Eukaryota; Viridiplantae; Streptophyta; Magnoliopsida; Fabales; Fabaceae
Description: Pisum sativum (pea) long non-coding RNA (PSAT_LNC036398)
Source: RNAcentral
UGGUGUUUUAACAUCUUCUAUGAGUCUUCUUGUUGCAUUAGUAUCAAACCAACACAGGGACACUUCUGAUAACAAAUCUAUGGAACAUGAUAAUGUUUUUCAUUCUAUAAGCAAUGCAUAGUCAGGCAUGAAUCCCACAUGUACACCUAAAUCAAUGUUCCAAGAAGAAAGUUCUCCAUUUCCCACUAGUAUUUUCUCCCAUUCCAAUCCUAAAAGUCAGAACUCAGAAGCUCAUCAAUGGUCGGAUGACACCACCUAUACUUGUGAUCGAAACAAAAAUGAUCAAAGCAAUAUUGAUUGUGCUAUGCAUGACUCUCCAUCUACAUCAAUGGUCGGAUGACACCACCUAUACUUGUGAUCGAAACAAAAAUGAUCAAAGCAAUAUUGAUUGUGCUAUGCAUGACUCUCCAUCUAACGGUCAAAAUUGUGGUACUAGAUUUUACCAUGAUGUAGAAAAUCGCAACAUUAGUGGUGUAUCUGAAGGCACAGGCAGCCGGAGUGAUGGAAAUACCCCUCAGUCUGUUGUAGGCAAGAUCCACCUUGAAAGUUCUAUUAAUAAUGAUCACUAUGACGAGCCUAGAGGCGCAAAUUCUUACCACACCAGCCAAAGAGAAGCAGCUCUACUAAAGUUUCGACUAAAGAGAAAAG